Molecule: long non-coding RNA, 1233 nt
Organism: Cyprinus carpio (common carp)
Lineage: Eukaryota; Metazoa; Chordata; Actinopteri; Cypriniformes; Cyprinidae
Source: Ensembl
CAGAAAUCUACUUAAUAUGACAUUUAAGUAUACUUGACUUAUACUUACAAAAAGUCUAAAUAUUUGAGCUAUACUUGUGCUCCUGGUAGGCUACAUAUUUUCAUUAUCAUUUUAGAAUCAGAUAUUGACUAAUAAGAAUGCUUCACAUAUUUUUGAAACUUCCCAAAUCUUACGUACGGGGCACAACAUAAGACCCUGAAUGUUUAUUACUACAGUGUCACGUUUCUCAACUAUUUUGGCACACUUCACUCCUCUCUGUUCUCAAGAACUGCCAACACCUGCUUACUACGCGCCGGAGAACACGUAGACCCAGCACACAAAACACAAAAACAGGAUUGUCAUGCGGCUACUGAACAGAUAAAAUUUUUUAAGAAAUAGGCUAGUUCUUGAUCACGUUAUGGACGUCCCAAAUGAAGUAGGCUACUAUUAAAGGAGGGUGUAAACACUUUUCUUUUGCUACGGAUUAAAUGUUGACGUGCUCUGCUGGAUUUAGACGAAAAGUGUGUUUCUGUGGACAUUGCUUUAAUUCAUCCUUGUGGAUCUUAAAGCUAAUAACACGGUGCUUAUUAAAAGAAGGAAAAAUUAGAGGAGACAAAUGAAGAGGAGGAGGGAUGAACAUUCACAAGCCGGAGGAUCAAAACCAGCAAAUCUGGAGGAUCUUGUUAAAAGGAACAGUAUGGAACUUCCUGCGACUCUGAAAUUCUCUCAGGAUGCAGACAGACCAGAGAGACAUUUUGAAGUAUCAGAAUCAAAGACGAGAUCAUCUGAACACCAACCAGACAAAUCUCUAUGAAUCUCUCACGUUUCUUCAGAUGGAGCUGAAAUUGCUAAGUGUUUCCAGGCCUGGCUCCAUCCAAGCAGGAGUAUCAAAAAUUCACGUUUAUUUAGAAAGUAGAAAGCAUGUAAGUCUUGCCAGUUUACUGUAAAGGAAUUUUCCAUAUUGAUUUUUUUUUACACGUGUUUUAUUUUGCAAUUCUAUUUUGUGUUUUAGGGUUAAUGGAAAUGUUUGUAAAAUUAAUGGAUAAUGUCCUAGCAGAAAAUUGAAUAUUACUAGUAUAUUUUUUGUGUUGUUGUUGUUGUUGUUGUUGUUGUUGUUGUUGUUGUUGUUGUUGUUGUUUUAACAGUGUUUUGGCUGUUUUCUGUGCACACACAGAGAGCACAUAUCAGACAUUACUGAACUUAUCUUAACUGAGUUACAAUAAAAUGUCUUAAAGAAUGUAACUAGUUGGGAGA